Long non-coding RNA from Cyprinodon tularosa, 2135 nucleotides. RefSeq lists it as uncharacterized. The transcript is spliced from 2 exons. The record is from RefSeq and is a predicted model, not a curated record. Lineage: Eukaryota; Metazoa; Chordata; Actinopteri; Cyprinodontiformes; Cyprinodontidae.
GUUUCAGUUUCAGCCAUCUGUCCUGAUUUCUUUAAAUUUUCUGUUUUUAUGCUUUUUUUCUGUUUUGAUUUCUCAUCUUGUUUCCAUUCAGUGAGUUGAUCUGCUGUCUGAGCUGAUCUGUGUCAAACCGUCACAGCAGGUCGCGUGGGUGUGUGGAGGGACGUCUUCACUGUGUCCAUGAACGAAACCUUUGAUGCUUAUUACAGACAGAAGAUGGCGAAAUCCGACCUCAGCUUUGACUUUUGCCUGUGACCCCCCCCCACUGACCCCCAUCUCAAAGACAUUAAUGCUUCUCCUCCAUCAGCUCGGCCUGACAGCAGGAGGACCUUUAGAAAAGGUUUCCCAUGAUGCAUUCUGUUCCCUUCCAGCCUGAUUGAUCCGCUGUUCCCUCUGCAUGGCGGCCGCCGUAGGCUCGUCCCCGCAGGGCGUCAGGGUAGCAGCGUCCUGCUGUAGAAGGCAGAGGAGCAGCAGCUGUUCAGGUCACACCGUCGCUCCUCAGAUUAACAUUAGAAGCUUCUUCAGUAUCUCUCCAGUCUUUGCUUUGGUGAUGUUAUACGUAUGGAUGUCAUCGACCUGAACCUUCACUGAUUCCUUCGUCACUCAGACCCCCAGCUAACCGGCGUUAGCUGAAGCGUAGGUCAGAGAAACGGCUCCCAGUUCCGUUGGUCGACUGUAUACCUAGACAACUACCUUAUCUUUAAAUGGCUCCUCCUCUGAUAGACGUCAUCUUAGAGCAUUGCUGCACUGAGGUCAGACUGACAGUGGGACGCAGCCCACAGCAUGACGACUCCUCCACCGAACUUUGGCAGGUGGUGUUCGGCUGAUCCUUCAUGGCUGCAGCCAACAUCCUGUUGCUCCGCCCAUAAUCAGGCUGUCCAUCAGAUUCACUGCCAAAAAGAAAAUCCCGCUGACCAACUAUCCUUCUCCAGCAUUCAGUCACACAUCUGCUCAGAGAUCAUUGAUGGUUUGGAGGAAAUAUUAUGACAUUAAACUGUGUUUUUCAUCCAGCAGCUUUUUACUGUAAGGUUUAAUCAUCAGACCCAUGAUGAGCCACAGACAGCUGUUCAUUGCUCACAGCAGGACUGGCCUUCUAGAAACGUUUGAGCUGGGAGGAGCAGCACUGCGCCGGCAUAGCCCCACCCACUACUUCAACCUUUAACAUUUUGUCUAAUUAAAUCCAGCUUUAUUCGUACAGCACCUUCUAAACAAUGCAUCACAUUGACCAAAGCAACCCAAGCAGGUUCUGUUUUAGAACAAUCUCCAAGCUUUGAACAUCUCCCUACAUGAAGGUCCAGGGUGGGAGGAGCUGCAGAGAUCCACAGCUCAGGUGGAGGAUCUAUCUGCAGCUCUGAGAUCUGAUCUUGUCAAUCAAAGCUGAAGGCAGAGAGAAGGUGGCGUCCCGUGAGGACGAGCAGACAUGAGGAAUAAGCUGCAUCACAGCUGGAAUCUGGGCUGGAGCUUCAUCUGCAGGAGAUGGACCCUAAACAUGAAGCCAGUAGAACCAAAGCGGUGUUAGAAUGGCCUAGUCAAAGCCCAGACCUACCUCUACAUUCCCAUUAAAUCAGAACUCCAUCCAACAUUAGGAUGCUGAAUGUGAUGUUCUAUGUUAGAUGGAUCUAUCUGUGAAAUUCUACUUCUCUCCUUUUGGCUCUGAAGCUCCAUAAAGACUCAGUUUAGUUUCUAUUACAGCUCCUCUGUCUCCCAGGUGGCCUGGUUUAUGCUAAUCCUUUAUGUGAACCCAUGAGGGACGAGUCGGUCUUAUUGAAUCUCAUAAAGAGGAUCCGAACACGAAGAAGAUCAACGUUAAAACGUCUCAUCUCUGGCUGCACAGGUGUUUUCCAUGUUCUUCGGUCGCCCUGUUACCCAACAGUCUUUAGGUGUUAUCUGUGUCUUUAGGCCGUCUGAUCAAAUCUUACUGAUCUGUAUUUAAUCCACGAUGAAAGAUGUAAGCAGAAAUUCAGAGGAAAACAGUUUUUACCAAGAACUUCCCAUCGGUUGAACAGACUUGUCUGUUUUAACUAAAAGCUGCCAGACUGUAAGAGCUGAACGCAGGAAUAAAGCUCACCUGUUCAAACUCACCUCUGGGUCCAGUUUCUGCUACAUAUUGGAAUAAAGCCAACUUUGUAAAUAGAAAA